This 253-nucleotide ribosomal RNA is filed under the name uncultured bacterium. RNAcentral's name for it is "partial 16S ribosomal RNA". It matches the Rfam family "Bacterial small subunit ribosomal RNA", at positions 524 to 776 of the family's 1533-position model. The record is from RNAcentral.
UACGUAGGUGGCAAGCGUUGUCCGGAAUUAUUGGGCGUAAAGCGCGCGCAGGCGGUCUUUUAAGUCUGAUGUGAAAGCCCACGGCUCAACCGUGGAGGGUCAUUGAAAACUGGGAGACUUGAGUGCAGAAGAGAAGAGUGGAAUUCCACGUGUAGCGGUGAAAUGCGUAGAGAUGUGGAGGAACACCAGUGGCGAAGGCGACUCUUUGGUCUGUAACUGACGCUGAGGCGCGAAAGCGUGGGGAGCAAACAGG